AGCCAGUUUGAAACCUGGACCUGUCCUACCUGGGUCUGGUUCCAGACAUCCCAGAACCUUCUAAUCAGGAACAGGACUCACACUCCCCAUCUCAGACCAGUUCUGCUAUGAGAUACGAGACCCAUUGCCCAUCCUUUUCUCAGUCCACUGGUCGACAGGGUCCACCAGAGAUUGUUGAGAACUCUCCAUCCCCUACCAACAUGAAGAAGUGGAUGAAACCUGUCGUUGUUCCUCGGCUAGGAGAAGAGGCAGGAAUCUACUAUGAGUGAUACAGAAAAUAUCUCAUAUGGAAGGAGUAAGAUUGCUGCCAAGAAUGCUGUCCCUGGUAUUGCAACAAGACCAUUGAAUGAACUUGUCAAUGAACUACCAUCCACAACAACGGGCAGCAGUUGGAAGGGCUAGAUGACAAACUCGACCAUCCCAAGACCGUACCUAAUAGUACAGUGCAAUC
Long non-coding RNA from Lytechinus pictus (painted urchin), 451 nucleotides. RefSeq lists it as uncharacterized. The transcript has 3 exons. The record is from RefSeq and is a predicted model, not a curated record. NCBI's taxonomy places the organism in Eukaryota, Metazoa, Echinodermata, Echinoidea, Temnopleuroida, Toxopneustidae.